GACGAACCGUGCGAACGUUGUUCGGAAUCACUGGGCUUAAAGGGCGCGUAGGCGGGCCGGACGGUCCGAGGUGAAAUCCCCCCGCUCAACGGGGGAACGGCCUCGGAUACCGCCGGCCUCGAGGGGGGUAGGGGCAAGCGGAACGCUGGGUGGAGCGGUGAAAUGCGUUGAUAUCCAGCGGAACUCCGGUGGCGAAGGCGGCUUGCUGGACCCCUUCUGACGCUGAGGCGCGAAAGCCAGGGGAGCGAACGGG
RNAcentral lists this ribosomal RNA (253 nucleotides) under uncultured bacterium. RNAcentral's name for it is "partial 16S ribosomal RNA". It matches the Rfam family "Bacterial small subunit ribosomal RNA", at positions 524 to 776 of the family's 1533-position model. The record is from RNAcentral.